RNAcentral lists this ribosomal RNA (426 nucleotides) under uncultured bacterium. RNAcentral describes it as "bacterial SSU rRNA". It matches the Rfam family "Bacterial small subunit ribosomal RNA", at positions 355 to 773 of the family's 1533-position model. The record is from RNAcentral.
UGGGGAAUUUUGGACAAUGGGGGCAACCCUGAUCCAGCCAUCCCGCGUGUGCGAUGAAGGCCUUCGGGUUGUAAAGCACUUUUGGCAGGGAAGAAACAGCCUGGGCUAAUAUCCCGGGCGACUGACGGUACCUGCAGAAUAAGCACCGGCUAACUACGUGCCAGCAGCCGCGGUAAUACGUAGGGUGCAAGCGUUAAUCGGAAUUACUGGGCGUAAAGCGUGCGCAGGCGGUUCGGAAAGAAAGGUGUGAAAUCCCAGGGCUUAACCUUGGAACUGCACUUUUAACUACCGGGCUAGAGUACGUCAGAGGGGGGUAGAAUUCCACGUGUAGCAGUGGAAUGCGUAGAGAUGUGGAGGAAUACCGAUGGCGAAGGCAGCCCCCUGGGAUGAUACUGACGCUCAUGCACGAAAGCGUGGGGAGCAAAC